Molecule: long non-coding RNA, 1342 nt
Organism: Ostrea edulis (European flat oyster)
Lineage: Eukaryota; Metazoa; Mollusca; Bivalvia; Ostreida; Ostreidae
Exons: 2
Source: RefSeq, a predicted model, not a curated record
UCUAGUUUACUUUCACUUUCGAUUUACUACUUCCGGGCAACAGUCGAAAAAUGUCACUUUGUUUUGCUUUGGUUAUGCUCAGAUGACAGCGUUAAAAUGAACCUACAGCCUAUAUAGAUUCCCUACUUAUGCAAAAAGAGGAAGAAGUGGAUUUAUAGAUGCAGAUGCCGUUAUAUACAUCGUUUCCUUCAGAAGUAUCAAUGUGUUGGUGGCUGUUAUGAAGAGAAUGGGCCCAUUUUAACAACUUCUAGGAUGGACAGUACAAGGGUUCAUACCAGUGAUCAAUUUAUCAUGACUCUUAUGAAGUUGCACCAAAAUCUAAGGGAUCUACAUUUAGCAGGCCAGAGGGCUCAAUGCCGAAUUUACCUCUGAAAGAAUCGCAAUGGAUACAACAAACAUAACACUGGAUUUAACUUUAAAAAUGAAUAACUAGUCAUUAUCUGACAGCAACUACAUUGUGCAAAAUUUGUCACACAGCAAAGGCUAUCACUUGUGUAGCACAAUUGUUCUGAAUUCUAUCCUGGAUCCACCUCUGAUGGUGACAUUGUUGAUCACUGAUGUGUAUUGGAUAUGUUGAAGCGAGAUAAUAUAUGAUUCUUGCUAAUAAAGGAUUUGAUAUAUUUGAUAAACUUUAAUCAGGAAUGACAUUGAACAUAACACCUUUUCUUUCAUCAAAAUCUCAUUUCAGUAAGGAUGAAGCACAGCUGUUACAAGACCAGGAAGAGUCAAAUUCAUGUAGAGUGUGCAAUUGAAUAAUUAAAAACAUCCAUAUUCUAAAUCAUAUACCUUCACAAUACAGACAUGUACAUCUGUCCACUAAGAUUUUCAACUCUGUGUGACCCUUGUCCAUUUGCAAAUCCUCUACUAAAGGAAAUAGCUGAUAUGAAUUCCACAAUAUAUUAAUCUUACCUUUGGACUUAGAUACUAUAAAUGUACAACUUCUUACUCACAUUAUUCUGCAUUGUCAAUUUAUAUUAAAUGCAUCCAAGUAAAUGAUAAAGUGAACAUUUAUUUGAGGUUGCUAGUCAAAGAAAUUGUUACAAUGGUGAUUCAUGCACAUCUUCACACUGAUCAUUUGUAGCAAAAACAAAAUAAAACUAAUGGAAGACAUUUGAAUUUUCACAAGUCUGUCUAGUUGGUUAUUGCAGAGAGGGCACAAAGGCUCAAUCAUGUAUGCCAAGUAUAAUUCCCAUAAUUCAUCUUGAAGAAUGAGAAUCACUUCCAUGUUCAUUGGUGUUCAAACUAUGAAACCACAAGUGGUGCCUGUGAGGUAAAGCUGAUGGAGAACUUGAUGCCAAUAACCAUGGUUCUCUGAGCUGCAGCGCAACUUCCGGGCUGCACU